Molecule: ribosomal RNA, 521 nt
Filed under: uncultured Comamonas sp.
Lineage: Bacteria; Pseudomonadati; Pseudomonadota; Betaproteobacteria; Burkholderiales; Comamonadaceae
Description: bacterial SSU rRNA
Rfam family: Bacterial small subunit ribosomal RNA
Source: RNAcentral
AGAGUUUGAUCCUGGCUCAGAUUGAACGCUGGCGGCAUGCUUUACACAUGCAAGUCGAACGGUAACAGGUCUUCGGAUGCCGACGAGUGGCGAACGGGUGAGUAAUACAUCGGAACGCGCCUAGUAGUGGGGGAUAACUACUCGAAAGAGUAGCUAAUACCGCAUGAGAUCUACGGAUGAAAGCAGGGGACCUUCGGGCCUUGUGCUACUAGAGCGGCUGAUGGCAGAUUAGGUAGUUGGUGGGGUAAAGGCUUACCAAGCCUGCGAUCUGUAGCUGGUCUGAGAGGACGACCAGCCACACUGGGACUGAGACACGGCCCAGACUCCUACGGGAGGCAGCAGUGGGGAAUUUUGGACAAUGGGCGAAAGCCUGAUCCAGCAAUGCCGCGUGCAGGAUGAAGGCCCUCGGGUUGUAAACUGCUUUUGUACGGAACGAAAAGCCUGGGGCUAAUAUCCUCGGGUCAUGACGGUACCGUAAGAAUAAGCACCGGCUAACUACGUGCCAGCCGCCGCGGUAAUUC